This 465-nucleotide ribosomal RNA is filed under the name Vreelandella stevensii. Its description in RNAcentral is "partial 16S ribosomal RNA". It matches the Rfam family "Bacterial small subunit ribosomal RNA", at positions 338 to 795 of the family's 1533-position model. Lineage: Bacteria; Pseudomonadati; Pseudomonadota; Gammaproteobacteria; Oceanospirillales; Halomonadaceae. The record is from RNAcentral.
CCUACGUGAGGCAGCAGUGGGGAAUAUUGGACAAUGGGCGAAAGCCUGAUCCAGCCAUGCCGCGUGUGUGAAGAAGGCCUUCGGGUUGUAAAGCACUUUCAGUGGGGAAGAAAGCCUUGGGGCUAAUACCCUCGAGGAAGGACAUCACCCACAGAAGAAGCACCGGCUAACUCCGUGCCAGCAGCCGCGGUAAUACGGAGGGUGCGAGCGUUAAUCGGAAUUACUGGGCGUAAAGCGCGCGUAGGCGGUCUGAUAAGCCGGUUGUGAAAGCCCCGGGCUCAACCUGGGAACGGCAUCCGGAACUGUCAGGCUAGAGUGCAGGAGAGGAAGGUAGAAUUCCCGGUGUAGCGGUGAAAUGCGUAGAGAUCGGGAGGAAUACCAGUGGCGAAGGCGGCCUUCUGGACUGACACUGACGCUGAGGUGCGAAAGCGUGGGUAGCAAACAGGAUUAGAUACCCGGGUAGUC